GGUCCCUUCCAACCCAAACCAUACUAUGAUUCUGUGAAAUCUCCAGGGAUGCUCCGUGGCUGUGAGAUGGAGGUCAUGGCAUGGCUUUUCCUCUUCCACCCGUCUUUCCAUCAUUGCUCACGUGGGAGAAGUGGGACACUCGGCUGAGUGCUGGUGAUAGUCACGGCAAGGCUGGAGACGAGGUGGGAAGAAAAAUACAACCCAAGCAGAAGGGUUUGGUGGGGUGGGACAUCCCUGGUGCAACAUGCACAUUGCAACGCUGCUGGGUUGACUGCCCUUCUUUUCUGCUCUGAUGAAGGCUUUUUCUCCCAUUUACGUUCAUGGCACACCCCGGGGCAGACUUGAGAAAGGCAAAGGGCAGCUCCGUGCAGGGAUAACUGCUCUCCUAGGUGGGUGCUGACAGCUUGUUUUGCACAUCAAGCUUGGUGGGUGCUGCACAGUGAGACCGUUUUGAUCGCUAACUCCAUGACCUGCUCUCAAGUGACCAGUACCUGCCAACCCAUGCUCUGUAGUUCAUCUCAGACUCAUCCUGCUGCACUGCAGUCCCUGUUACUCCCCAUCUUUGACAUUUUACACCCUGAAAUGAAUCACCCUGUUCCCUUCAAGGCAUAACCCAGGUGUGGUUGUGUUUGCCCAGGAGACCGCGCUCAGCAGGCAGUUAAGACUAGGUUGUACCAGGCUGGGCUCGCCCUACCCUUCACAAUCAUCUGAUACGAUCCAGGCAGGCUUUGUGCCCUCAAACAUAUCCUGCAUACCGUAAUUCCCCACCCAAAUAUACAUCAUAGAAUGACAGAAUCAUAGAAUGGUUUGGGUUGCAAGGGACAUUUGAAGGUCAUCUAGUCCAACCCCCUGCCAUGAGCAGGGACAUCUUCGACUAGCUCAGGUUGCUCACAGACCCGUCCAACCUGACCUUGAAUGUUUUUGGGCAUGGGGCAUCGACCACCUCUCUGGGCAACCUGGGCCAGUGUCUCACCACCCUCAACGUAAAAAAUUUCUUCCUUAUAUCUAGUCCGAUUCUACCCUCUUUCAGUUUAAAGCCAUCACCCCUUGUCCUAUUGCAACAGACCCUACUAAAAAGUCUGUCCCCAUCUUUCUUAUAGGCCCCCUUUAAGUACUGAAAGGCCACAAUAAGGUCUUCCCGGAGCCUUCUCCAGGCUGAACAACCCCAACUCUCUCAGCCUGUCCUCACAGGAGAGGUGUUCCAGCCCUUGGAUCAUUUUUGUGGCCUCCUCUGGACUAGUUCUAACAGGUCCGUGUCCUACUUGCAUUGGGGGCUCCAGAGCUGGACAUAGAGGGGCAGGAUCACCUCCCUCGACCUUCUGGCCAUAUACAUCCUCCCCAUCAUGCAACACAAACCCUGUUCUUGCAGACUGCAAACCAUUCAUCCCAUUAUUUUGGGUGCUUUGAAUUAUCGCUCAAAAAGAGGAGCUUGUUUUGGGGAUCGGGGCCUCUCUUCACCAAGAUGCAUCCAAACACACCAUGUCCGGACUGUUUUGCUCAGGAGGAACAUAGCAGCUUUGCAGUAAAGACAACUGAGAUAUCGGAAUGGGAUACAGAAAGCAGGCCAAGUCACCUUUUCCCUGUAUUUGCCUGUAAUAAAGAAUAUUGACUUGUUGUUGUCAUAACUGGGUAAAAGAGGCUUUUUCUGUACCAUGCAUUGCUGUCUGUUGAACUGCUUUCCACUGGACAAGAAUGGAUGCUCAUGGUUUGGCAAGUUUUAGAAAAGAUUGUGCAGAUGCGUAAUAGUAAGGAUGGCAAAAAAAAAUGUCAGUUUUGGAGAGGAUAUAAGCCUUCUUGCUUCAAAACAAAAUCUCCAGCUAACAGGGCUCAGGAGGGAAGUUUCUUUGUGAUCCAUAACUUUUAUGCAGGGGUUUCUUUUAUCUUCUUCUGUAAUAAGACACACUGGUGAGUUUCAAGUUGCUGGGUUUGUGCAAUUGUUUUGAAUCCUGCUUGCUUAUUAUUUCUAAUAAUUCAGAAAAAAACCAGCCCUAAAAGCUCUGGCUUACCAAGACCAGCCCCUGCAAUCAGAGAGAAGUGCUUGAUAAAGUUAUUUUUGCCACCUUCAGCUGCUCCUCCCAUGUUGCACAAGGGGCAUGUGGCAAUUUGGGGUCAGGACUUCCCUGCCUCUUCGUGGUUUGCGUGGAGCACAGAGCCCAUUGUGACAGUCAGGUGAUGAUUGCUAAUGUGGCUUACAAGAAUUGCUGCAGCUUCCCAUCUGCCAAAGCUGGACAUCACUUGCUGAAGUGACCAGUGGAUCCUGCCCCGUGGCUGAAAGCAGAUCCCAGAGAUCCUGAUACAGAGGUGAUGAUGCUUUGCAUACAGAUGGUAGGAGAAGAGAAUGAAUCUCCUGUGGGAUCUGGGGUAGCUGUGCAUCAGAAGCAGGACCUCAACAAGAUUUUAGGCUCCCAUCGCCGUGCUAAGACCAUGCUAGCAGCAUCUGGGAGGAGAAGCAGACACGUAUGUGCUGGGCUCCUACUCUGGGAAGCAAGAAGGUGGCUACAGUCCAGCCUAACAUGCUGAAGGUCAGAGUCUUAACUUCUUACCCACUUUACCAUGCUUUCCUGGUGAGAUAACAGCAGGUCCCCGUGCAUUUAAGUAAAGAAAUGCCAUUCAUAUGCA
Molecule: long non-coding RNA, 2619 nt
Organism: Harpia harpyja (harpy eagle)
Lineage: Eukaryota; Metazoa; Chordata; Aves; Accipitriformes; Accipitridae
Exons: 2
Source: RefSeq, a predicted model, not a curated record